UACGAGUGCCUCAAGCGUUAUCCGGAAUUAUUGGGCGUAAAGGAUGUGUAGGUGGUCGUGUUAGUCUCUUGUUAAAUUCUUCGGCUUAACCGGGGACCUGCAAGGGAAACGGCACGACUAGAGGAUGCGAGGGGUCUGCGGAACUCAUAGUGUAGCGGUGAAAUGCGUUGAUAUUAUGGGGAGCACCAAAAGCGAAGGCAGCAGACUGGAGCACUCCUGACACUGAAACAUGAAAGCGUGGGUAGCGAAUGGG
RNAcentral lists this ribosomal RNA (253 nucleotides) under uncultured bacterium. RNAcentral describes it as "partial 16S ribosomal RNA". It matches the Rfam family "Bacterial small subunit ribosomal RNA", at positions 524 to 776 of the family's 1533-position model. The record is from RNAcentral.